RNAcentral lists this long non-coding RNA (503 nucleotides) under Mytilus galloprovincialis (Mediterranean mussel). The record is from RNAcentral. Lineage: Eukaryota; Metazoa; Mollusca; Bivalvia; Mytilida; Mytilidae.
GACCCAUUACUUAUAGUUUAAGAAAAAUAGACCAAAACACAAAAACUUAACACUGUGCAAUGAACCGUGAAAAUGAGGUCACGGUCAAAUAAAACCUGUGCGACUGCCAUAAAGUUCAUAAAAUAUUUCCAUACACCAAUUAUAGUUGACCUAUGGCAUAUAGUAAUAGAUAAAAAGACCAAAACUCAAAAACUUAACUUUUUUUGACCACUGAACCAUGAAAAUGAGGUCAGUGUCUCAUGACAUCUCCCCGCUAGACAUGUACACCUUACAAUCAUUCCAUACAACAAAUAUAGUAGACCUAUUACAUAUAGUAUGAGAAAAACAGACCAAAACACAAAAAUUUAACUAUAACCACUGAACCAUGAAAAUGAGGUCAAGGUCAGAUGACACCUGCCAGUUGGACAUGUACACCUUACAGUCCUUCCAUACACUGAAUAUACUAGCCCUAUUGCUUAUAGUAUCUGAGAUAUGGACUUGACCACCAAAACUUAACCUUGUUC